AAUUGUGGUCAUGUCUUUCUGGCUCAUUUGUUAAGUUUUCAAAUGGGCCUGACUCUGCCACAUAUAUUAUAUAGGAGCUGAUAUUGACUUGAAAACAGAGAGAUCUUUCUUAAGCUUUUCCUGCAUCAGAGAUUGGCUCCCACAUGU
Small nucleolar RNA from Sciurus vulgaris (Eurasian red squirrel), 147 nucleotides. Ensembl annotates it as small nucleolar RNA, H/ACA box 12. Its record names the gene SNORA12. NCBI's taxonomy places the organism in Eukaryota, Metazoa, Chordata, Mammalia, Rodentia, Sciuridae. The record is from Ensembl.